Molecule: microRNA, 24 nt
Filed under: Ananas comosus (pineapple)
Lineage: Eukaryota; Viridiplantae; Streptophyta; Magnoliopsida; Poales; Bromeliaceae
Description: microRNA s1438_c075b
Source: RNAcentral
CUAGUUUGGGAUAGGUGAAGAAAC